ACCUGGGUGGCUUAGUUGGUUAAGCAUCUGACUUUGGCUCAGGUCAUGAUCUCCUGGUUUGUGGGUUCAAGCCCCACGUCGGGCU
This 85-nucleotide transfer RNA is filed under the name Felis catus (domestic cat). It matches the Rfam family "tRNA". Rfam says of the family: Transfer RNA (tRNA) molecules are approximately 80 nucleotides in length. Their secondary structure includes four short double-helical elements and three loops (D, anti-codon, and T loops). Lineage: Eukaryota; Metazoa; Chordata; Mammalia; Carnivora; Felidae. The record is from Rfam by way of RNAcentral.